Triticum aestivum (bread wheat) is the source of this 1414-nucleotide long non-coding RNA. RefSeq lists it as uncharacterized. Lineage: Eukaryota; Viridiplantae; Streptophyta; Magnoliopsida; Poales; Poaceae. The record is from RefSeq and is a predicted model, not a curated record. The transcript has 2 exons.
GCGCGAGGGUGUUUGUUCUUCUGUUCUUGCCGAAACUGAAACUGAAACGCUGUGCAUGCCAAACUUCAGAAAGCAUGUACGCGGAGAACACCAGUACAUAUUCCAAGAACAGGGGUAAAGCACGGUAUGCUCGGCCAGAAGAAAUGCCCAACAAGAUCAAGGGCCUCAAGGGCAGGGUAAGGCGGGACAAACAGGGAAGCAAGGAUAGCUAUUAAAUAGUUUUUGCAGCAAAUUAAACGGGGAAGGAAGGAUAGCGGGACAAACGGGGUUGCAAACGAGGGAGAGGGGCGGAUUUUGUACUACGGCGAGUGGCUUCUCUUGCGAUCGUCAUGGCUGAUAUGGGGAUUGAAGGGGGUGGCUAGCGUUGGAUUCAUAGGGAAACUUUUCACUCUAGGGGCAGAGCAGUUGCUUGGAUUUUUGCUAUAAGAGUUGCAGUUGCUUAGUUUUGUUGGGGCAGUUCCUUGGAUUUAUUUUGAAUAGUUUUUGCAUUUGUGGUUUUUGUAAUGCAGUUGCUUGGUUUUGCUAGCGCAAUUGCUUGGAUUUUUUUCUAGAACUGUUUUGCAUUUUGUGUUUUUUUGUAAUUGCAUUGCUUGGUUAUUGCUAGAACAGAGAAGACACCCGGAGGGGAGGGGGUGGGUGUUAGAUAGUUAUCAAUAUCAUACAUUUUUCCUCUGCGUAAAGUAGAUAAUCUAAGUAGUAAUGCUACCACGGUUGCUUGGUUUUGCUAGGACAGUUGCUUGGAUUUGUGCCAGAACAGUUUUGCAUCUGUGUUUUUGCUAGGUGGAGGGCGGCAAGGUGUGUGAUAGGGCGUGUAGCGGGAAGAUGAAGGUGGUGGGCGGCGAGGCAAGAGAGAGGAAGCGUGUGGGGGUGGACGAAGGUGGAGGGCACUGCCCAAGUUAUGAUUGGAGUUGCACAAUAUGUCGGAAGGAGUUGCAUAGGAGUGGAUCGGAAGUGGCUCAUUUUUCCUUUUUUGUUUGUCGAGUGGAUUUGCCCAAUAUUUUUUAUAAGUAUUUAGGUGCUCUUCUUGAUUGGAUAGGUUGGUUCGGACUAGUGUUCUUUUUGCCCUGCUAUUCUUGGUUGCAUAUGUUAGUUAAGACUUUCCUUUGGAUCCUGCACAUGGCCACAUAGGUCUUCCAUUUGUUUUUUGCCUGCGGUCUUCGGCUGCAUUUGAUGAAUACGUAGAACAUCAUGUGAUUUCAGAAAAAACUAUCACACAACAAAAGCAACAAAAACCACGGAAAAAGAUACCAUAGUUGCCCUACGUAGUUUGCAUAUUUUUUAUGCACAAUGCAUGAAAGAUAACAUAGUUGCACACAAUUAAUCAUACAGUUGCCUAAAACCAUGUAUCUCAUUGCCCAAUCCUCAUGAACAGAAACAUUACCAAAACCACGAUUUUAUCAAUAUCUAAAGGUUU